UCAGUCUGAGUCCAAAAGCCUCAAAAGCAGGGAAGCUGACAGUGUAGCCUUCAGUUUGUUGCUGAAGGCCUGAAAGGCCUUGACAAAUCACUGGUGUAAGUUCAAGAAUCCAAAGGUCAAAGAACCUUAAGUCUGGUGUCCAAGGGCAGGAGGACUGGAAGGAAGCAUUAAGCACAGGAGAAAGAUGAAAACCACAAGACUCACCAUGUAAGAAGUGCCUUUUGCCUUCCAUCAUUAUUCUGAGGCUUCCCAGCCAGGUGGAACUGCUCAUAGGCAGAAGGGACUUGCUUUGUCACAGAUGAGCCUUUGAACUAUGGACUUUUGGGUUAUGCUGAAAUGAGGUACAACUUUUGGGGGCUUUCAGAAAGGCAAUAUUGGUUUUAAAAUGUGAGGACAUGAGAUUUGGAGGGGCCAAGGGAAAGAUGAUAUGGUUUGGCUCUGUGUCCCUACCCAAAUCUCAUCUUGAAUUGUACUCCCGUAAUUCCCACAUGUUGUGUGAGGGACCUGGUGGGAGAUAAUUUGUAUCAUUGGGUCGGUUUCCCCCAUACUUUUCUCAUGGUAGUGAUUUAGUUUCACAAGAUCUGAUGGUUUUAUCAGGGGUUUCUGCUUUUGCAGCUUCCUCAUUUUGUCUUACCACAGCCAUGUAAGAUUUGCCUUUUGGUUCCCACCAUGAUUCUGAGGCCUCCCAGUAAUGUGGAACUGUAUGUCCCAUUAAACCUCUUUUUCUACCCAAUCUUGGAUAUGUCUUUAUCAGCAGCAUGAAAUUGGACUAAUACAGAGGCCGAAAAGUCCUACAGUCUGCCACCAGCAGGCUAGACACCAGGGGAGCCAGUGGUAUAGUGCCAGUCCUAAUCCAAAGGCUUGAAAACCAGGAGGGCUGAUGAUAUAAGGUCGGGUCUGAAUUAAGGGGAAAAACAAUGUCUCAGGUUGAAGACAGCAAGGAUAAAGAAUUCUUUGUUUCUCCACAGUUUGGUUCUAUUUAAACCCUCAGUGGAUUGGAUGAUGGCCACACAUAUUGGGUUGGGCAACCUGCUUUACUCAGUCUAUGGACUCAAAUGCUAAUUUUAUCCAGGACGCUCUCAAAGACACACUUAGAAAUAAUGUUUAACCAAGUAUCUGGGCAUCCCAUGGCCCACCCAAGUUGACAAACAAAAUUACCAUCACAAAAAUUAUAAGGCACCAAAUCAUGUGCAAUCUGCUUUCUAGUAUCUGUCAAAUUUAUCUGUUCUCCCCUUCCAUGGUGCCUCUUCUUUUAAUUCAGUUCCCCAAAUCCAAUCCCUCUCUCUCUCUCCCUCUCUCUCUCUCUCUCUCUCUCUCUCUCUCUCUCUCUCUCUCUCUCCAGCUUCCUAAAUUAUAUCCUUGCCCUCCUUUUGCUAAUUUUCUACAGGCGGUGUUAUGGAAAAUCAUGUGGCGCAAUGGCAAGAGAGCUGGUCUGAAUAAGCCUAACGAGUUGUUAGACCUUCUGCAAGUCGUUCCGGCUUUCCCAGUUUCCAUGUUUCAUUAAAGAAAUCAUUUAUGUGCAAGUUUUGUCACAUAAAUGGCAUAAAUUUAUCUCAAAGUUUUGCAAACUGUUGGAAACCAUACAAACAUAACAUAAGAAUGAUAUAUUCCUGUAUAUACGUUAGUUUCUGUACUUUGAGAAUGGAACCUGAAAGCACCUAGACACUGCUUUGGAUGCAGAAUUUGAAUCUUCUCAUUCUGUCUCUCAGAGUUAGGGACAUGUGUUGCGUUAUCUUGGAGAAGUUAAAUUUUAUUUGUUCUUUUAAGAAGAAAAGGUAUAUCACAUAUGCUCAGUGUACCAAUUUUUAUAUAUCACACAUGCUCAGUAUACCAAUUUUUAUAAUCAUCUUAUGCAGGCAUUAUAUUCUGGAGUAGCAGUAGUGCAUGGUGCUUAAAAAUAUGGACUUGGAGGCAGACUUCCUGGCUUCAACUUAGUACUUGGCUGUGUGAUUUUGGUUUAGUGUACUCCCUAAACCAAGUUUUAGUUUCUUUAAUUUCAAAAUAGAGGUAAUAUUUUCUUAGGGUUAUCAUAAAAAUUAAGUAAGAUCAGGUUUGUGCAAUGGAAAUUUAUUUUAAUAACUCAAUUUGGUUUGUUUUUAAACCUCCCACUCCACCUGCUGUAAAUUAAUCUGAGCCCUUUGUAGACUGUCUCUCUACUCUCAGAGUUGUUCCAGGUUCUAGACCACUGCUCUUAACAGAUAUAUAAUGUAAGUUGUAUGUGUAACUUCAAAUUUUCUAGAAACCACAUUUUAAAAACUUAGAAGAAACACAUGAAUUUAAUUUUGAGGAUAUAUUUUAUUUAAUUUAAUAUAUUUAAAUAUGACUAUUUCAACAUAUAAUCAAUAUCAAAAAUUAAUGAAGAGCUUUACAUUAAUUGUUUUGUUUGAAGUGAUUGAAGGCUGAUGUGUAUUUUAUGUAACACAUUACAAUUCAGACUAGUCACAUUUCACAUGCUAAGUAGCACAUUUGGCUCAUGGCUAAUGUAUUGGAUAGCAGAGUUCCAGACUCUCAGACAACAGCCAGUUGUUUGAGAAGGAGGGAGGGGUAUGUGAGGUCACACUGGUUACUGCUGAGAUCCUUCACUCCCCUGACCCAUAUUUCUCCUCCUGCUAUGACUUUCUAAUUAAAUUAGGUGAAAGAAAAGCAAGACAUACAGAGGAAAACAAAAAUUACUAUCUCAAAACAUCAUCUCAUCACAGGUAUUUACUUCAGUGCCUACUGUUACCAAACAAACGUGAGCAACUAACAAAUGUUAAUCAUUAUUAUAACUAAAAUCUUUUUCAUAUUAUCAUAUUCUCAUUUGAGGUUCAUUUCCUCAUUAAUAUGUUCCUCUGGACUUACAAUGUAUAGUUUUCCAGAAUAAGAUCAAGAAGCUCUUAAUCUUGCAUAACUCUGCUUUAUAACCCAAGCCUUCUUUGUUUUCAGGAAACAACUGGAGAAAGAGACAAUUUUAUUAAUGUAGUGAGUCACUGUUCAUUAAAAAGUAAAGACAUUAAAAAUAGCAUUCCUCACAAGCAUGUCUUUUUUAUUUUAUUAUUUUUUUAUUGCAUUUUAGGUUUUAAAUACCUUUCAGAACUCUCUUUUAGGGGUUGUUCUGUGCUAUUUUAAAAUACACAUUAGAAUUAGAAUAAAAUGUAUUUGAUCUUGGAAACCCAGACCUCAUGUUGUAUUAGUCUUUUAUACCUUUGCAUUUCCCACAUAUCAUUUGUGGAACUCUCAGUUAAGGGAGUGUUAAAUGAAUUAAUUACACAUAAGGCUCUUAGAAGUCUUUAGAGGCAGGACUAUCACGUGGUAAGUACCCAAUAUCAAUCAAGUGCUGCUCAGACACUAAUUUUUUUUAAUUACUGAAGUAAUCCUACGAAGUAACUAUUAUUAAAAUCCUUUUUUUUAUAGAUUAGAAAACUAAGUAGGGAAGAGUAAGUAAGUAGCCCCUGGGCACAGAGAUGGUAAAUGAAGCAGUGAUCAAGCCCAGGUAGCCUGACUCUAAAACCCACCCUCUCCAUUAGGCUCUACACUCUCCCUGGGCUCUGUGACCCAAAGUGUAAGAGGCAGAGAGCCUUUAUCCAUUCAAUUCACUUGUAGGCUCUGAGUAGUAAAUUUAUAUACUUUGAUUAACGCAAAUUGAUGAAAUCAUUACUUGAUAUAUGCAACUUCUUUACUGGGUAUGCUCUCUUAAAUAGAAGAUGUAUAUAUGCCAUGCUUAUAUGGUGUAUAUAUACCUAAAUCACCUAUGUUUAUAUUUAUGCUCUUCCUUGCUGAUGGAAAGGUCAGGAAACUCAAUCUGACUUCCACUUGUAGUAAUGAUGACAAGGUCAUUUGGAUUAACCCUUUUGCACACUGGAAUGGACAAACAGGAAGAAAAUUAACAAACACAGACAUUCACAGCAACCUGGAUGAAUUGCUCAGACACACAUUGAGUAAAAAAAAUGUCAGACACAAAAUAAUAUAAACUGUAUGAUUCUACUUAUAUAUAAACAAAACUAAACUAUUGUGUUUAGGGAUAUAUGUUUAGAUGGGAAAACAGUAAAGGAAACAGAUAUUUGAAUAUCAGAAAAGUCAAUGUUGUGAUUCUCUUAAGUGAAAAAGAGGAUAUCAUGAAAGCAGGGAUCACAAGAUGGGGCUUCUAAAGAGUGGCAACUUUCUAUUUCUUGACUUGGGUAAUGGUUACACAAUUUUUUGCUUUAUGAUAGUUUUUUAAGCUGACAUUUAAGUUUUCUCUAUGUUUUAUAUUUAGCGAUUAAAAUGUCUGGAAAGGAACGUGAGGAAAGUAGCACAACCAUUAAGUAGUGAAGAAUCCCACAUUAGUGAUGACAUCUAUACAAUGAUGAAUAAUUGGAAAAUAUAAGUUAAGGUUUCUCCGUUGUGAUUGGUCAGGAGGAUCCCCUACAACAGAAUCACUAAGGGGAAUUUUAAAGGUGCAAGUUCCCAUGAUAUCUUCAAACUAGAUUCUUACUCAUUUAUUCACCAUUAUUUGUUUAGCCCCUGUUACGUGCCAGGCCCUGUAGGUGCCAAGGAUACUGCAGUGAACAAAAUGGACAAAUCCUUAAUCAUGUGGAGCUUAUAGUCUAAUAGGACUUCAGAAGGAAUCUCCAUUUUUACAAGAUUUCUGUGUGAUUCUAAAUAUGAGAACAACUGGCCUAUGCUCUAAGCUUUUCUUAAAUCAUUCCCAUUCUGCACUUGAAAGAGUCAUAUGAAUAAAGUUAGAAUUUAAAGAAAACUAGUCUAUCACAGCACAGAAAUUUAAAGCACUUUUGUAUAAGUUUUAAAAAUUUAAGUUAUAACAGUUUAAUAAUUUAAAUAGAACCACCUUCAGGAACAUAUAUACACAAACAAAAACUCAAGCAAUUUAGUUGAAUGGUAUAUUAAAAUGCAUCAAAUUAUUUGAAAUCCUCCAAAAUGGGCUCAAGUUCAUGAAUAUGAAAAGAUAAGUUUGAAGUACUAUGGACAAAAGUAAAAUAGAAAGUCAAUACUUUGCAUUGACCAAUAAGAUAACAGCCUGUGGAUACAUUAGCCCUUUACGAGAACACUUCUAAGAAACAUUAGAAUGCAAAAUCAUUAAAAAAGAACAUAAAUUGUUUCAUGAUACAUUUACAGCUAACAAUUUCUUUGGUUCACCAAGGCUUACUUGCUUUUACCUUAGAAUACCAAACACAAGUUGAGGGUUCAGAAUAAGAAAUUAAUUACUGGGUACAAUGUAUGUUAUUUAGGUGAAGAAUCCCUCCAAAAUCCUGACUUGACCAAUAUGCAUCUAUGCAUGUAACAAAAUUACAAAAUUGUGUAAUUUUGUGCACAAAAAGGAAGUAAGUAAAUAAAAUCCUUAGCUAACACACUCAAAAGAAGAAAGACCUGUGGAGAAAAUAAUUCUUUUUCUAAUCAUCCUUCAAACCUUCAGGUCCCAGUUCACUGUCAUUAAUCUUUUGAGAUUUAAAAUUAUUCCACCCCCACAUUUUCAGUGUGUGUGUGUGUGUGUGUGUGUGUGUGUAUUCUUAGCAUAAAUGGAACUUUGUAAGCAAUUGAUUCUUUAAAGAUAUAAUAAAGAAAUUUCCCUGGUUUUAUUUUAAUUCUUUCUCCAUGACUCAGCCUGGAGAGCUAAAAUUUUAUUCAGGGGAUACAAGAGCUUUUAAAUUCCAAGUAGUAUUCUUAAUCUCUAACAAAGGAAUCUAAGUGACAUUAAAACAAAUAAAACAACAAUCAUAUCAACAAAACUCAACAAAGAUAUGAGAUCACUUUAUUUAAAAAUAUCUUGUUCACUGUAGACAACCUUCUUGAUAUAAAAUGAUAGAACUGAAUAUCUUCUAAGAUCUGUAAACAAAACAGGAAAAAAUUCCUGGCCUGAUGAUGCUUACAUGCUACUGUAUGUAUAUAAAGGGGAAGUGGGAAGGCAGUCAUAAACAAAAUUUAAAAGUAGUCGUUAGAAAGUGGAGAAACACUGUGUUUCAUUAACAGAGUCAGGCUUCAGAAGGUGGAUGAUAAGAAACAUCUAGGAGUUGAAGGAACUUGUUCUAACCCAAUGCAAAGAAACUAAGAACUUUGAAAAAAGGUUUGAUGAAAUGCUAACAAGAAUAGAUAAUAUAGAGAGGAAUAUAAGUGAAUUAAUGGAGUUUAAAAAUACAACACGAGAACUUCAAAGUAUGCACAAGUUUUAACAGCCAAAUUGAUCAAGCAGAAGAAAGGAUAUCAGAGGUUGAAGACCAACUUAAUGAAAUAAAACGAGAAGACAAGAAUAGAGUAAAAAGGAUAAAAAGGAAUGAGCAAAGUCUCCAAGAAAUCUGGGACUAUGUGAAAAGACCUAAUCUACGUUUGAUAGGUGUACCUGAAUGCCACAUAGAGAAUGAAUCCAAGCUGGAAAAUACUCUUCAGGAUAUUAUUCAGGAAAACUUUCCCAACCUAGCAAGGAAGAACAAUAUUCAACUCCAGGUAAUAUAGAGAACAACAAAGAUAUUCCUCAAGAAGAGCAACCCCAAGGCACAUAAUCGUCAGAUUCACCAGGGUUGAAAUGAAGGAGAAAAAUACUAAGGGCAGCCAGAAAGAAAGGUCAGGUUACCCACAAAGGGAAGCCUAUCAGACUCACAGCAGAUCUCUCAGCAGAAACCCUACAAGCCAGAAGAGAGUGGGGACCAAUAUUUAACAUCCUUAAAGAAAAGAACUUUCAACCCAGAAUUUCACAUCCAGCCAAGCUAAGCUUUACAAUUGAAGGAAAAAUAAAAUCUUUUGUGAAUAAGCAAGUACUCAGAUUUCAUUACCACCAGGCCUGCUUUACAAGAGCUUCUGAAAAAAGCAUUACACAUAGAAAGGAACAACCAGUAUUAGCCUUUCUAAAAAUAUACCAAAAAGUAAAGAGUAUCAACAUAAUGAAGAAUUUAUAUCAACUAAUGGGCAAAAUAGCCAGCUAACAUCAAAUGGCAAUAAUUUUAAAUUUAAAUUGACUAAAUCCCCCAAUCAAAAGAUACAGCCAAAACCCAUCAGUAUGCUGCAUCCAGACCCAUCUUACAUGCAAGGAGACAUAAAGAGUCAAAACAAAUGGAUGGAGAAAGAUUUGUCAACCAAAUGGAGAGCAAUAAAUAAAUAAAAAGCAGAGAUUGCAAUUCUCACCUCUGAUGGAAUUUAUUUUAAAGCAACAAAGAUCAAAAGAGGACAUAAUGGUAAAAGGAUCAACACAACAAGAGCUGACGAUCCUGGAUGUAUACCCACCCAAUACAGGACACGUAAGACUUGUAAAGAGACUUGGACUUCCACACAGUAGUAGUGGGAGAUUUCAACAUCAAUAUUAGAUAGAUCAAUGAGAUUAAAAUUAAUAAGGAUAUCCUGGACUUGAACUCAGAUCUGGAACAAGUAAACUUAAUAAACAUUUAUAGAACUCUCCACUUUACACACACAAGAUAUGCAUUUUUAUCAGUACCACAUCACACCUACUCACAGGUUUAAAUGAAAUAUUGGUUGGCCAUUAUUAAGCACAACUGAUGGUAUAAGGGAGGUUUUCAAUACCCAUUUUUAGACUGCAUUCUACCCUGGGCAAUUAAGCAACACUCCUGUUCUCUCUCCCUCCUCCUCUUCCUCUUUUUUCCUCUUCUUCAUUCCAUUUUUUUCUUUCUUUCUCUCUUUCUUUUCAAAAAAAAGAAAGUGAGGAAAUUGGAGUAUAAUAAUUGCUAUAGACAAAAUAUAAAUUGCUAUAUACAAAAAUAUUGCUAUAGACAAAAUAUAGUAAUUGCUAUAGGCAAAAGUAAAGUAGGCUUUGAAAGAGGGAGUUGGGGGUAAGAAUAAGAUUUGAAAUUUUACAUAGAUUGGUUAGAGAAGCCCUCAAGGAGAAACUGACAUUUCAGUAAAAACCAAGAAUAUGAUAUAGCUCACUUUUUAGUUCAGACAUUUUAAAUUUCAAUAAAUUCUAUAGCUUUUUCAUUAAAAAAAAAAAAAAAAAAAAAACUUGUAAGAGGCGAGAGUGAACUGCUAUGAUGUCUGAGAGCAGAGCAUUCCAGACAUGGGUAUUCAGAUUUGCAAGAGCCAGGCCUGGGGUGGAAGCAUGUACUUGGUCACUUCUGAGAACCUCAGCUGUAAAAUGAAUUAUUAAUUCACCCCACCCCCCACCCCUGAGUGAUUUAAAGGUUAUAUGAGGUAAUGGAGUUAGUCAUGGAUGUGAAAUCUGACAUAGAAUUUCCAAUUUUAAAUUUACAAGUCAUUUGCUUAAUAUCUAAUAUACACCAAAUACUGAGCGUGUAACUACAAACAAUAACUAUUUUAUGAUAUGAAGGAAAUUAUAAUCUUAUUUUAGAGACAAUGGUCAAGGGGUAAUUUUGAUAUGUGGUAUUUUCUAAAAUAAAUUUAGGGUAUUAAGGGACAUACGCAGAGUAGAAAAUAUAAUUCACAUUUUUUGGAUGAGAAACUGAAAUAUACAGAUAUUAAUUGAUGUGGCAAAGGAUGGUGGAUGUGUUUUGAACCCUGGUUUUCUGACUUGUGCUUACAUCAAAUCCUUCUAGUAUAAUCAUCUCCUUGGCUAGCAGGUGCAAACAAAUGAAGCCUAGAACCAAAUUCAUUAUUCCUCAUUGCUCCUGCUACCAUUUUAUCUGCUGCAGCCUCACUCUGAGGCUGAUUGGGAAAGAAACAUAGCCAACUACCUGUUAGAUAGGCCUUUAAUCUGGGAACUUAAGAUGAGCUUUCCUCCCCAGAUCCUGCAGAGCCCAGGGGUGUAGCUUAAAGUUGUCUCUGGGUUUUGAGCAGGAGCGGGAUGGAUAGAGCAGUUAGGAUGUGGGCAACGGAAAUAAUCACAGCUUUCACCUAUGUUUUCACAUGUUUUCCCUUUUGAUGCUUGCAACAGUCUUGCUAAUUAAGCAAGAGUUGUUAGUUCUAUUGUUUAAAAACCUUGCUUAAAGACUAUAAGCACUUUGCUCAAGGUCUUAUAGUUAGGGAAGUGGGAGAAACAGAACUGAAACCCAGAUUUCUAUCUCCAACUCCAUUGUUCUUUCGAUGAUCCGUUUGCAUUGGAAUGGAGGGAGCUAAGGAAUAGGAUAUUGAGGACUCUGGGUCUAGAUUCCUUCAAAGGUGAAAUGGAAGGGGAGGAGCCAUGGGGUGGAUGAUAUCUAGGGUGCCUUUGCAUAGGCUGUAACUUCUGCUGGAAUGCCCUCCUCACUCCUCUUCCUCUACAAAGGGACACUAAUGCUUCUCAUAGAAAGUAAGCUGUACAUUUUGGAGCAGUUUCAGAUUUAUAGAGUUGUUGAAAGACAGCUCAGAGAGUUCCCAUGUACUCACAUCCAAUUUCCCCUAUUAUUAAGAUCUCAUGUUAGUAUGGUGCAUUUGUCACAAUUCAUAAACAAAUAUUAAUAACUUUUAUUAACUAAAGUCCAUCUUUUAUCAAGGCCUUCUCAUUGUUUCCUGGUAUUCUUUUUCUGUUCCAAGUUCCUUUCCAGGAUACCACAUUACAUUUAACAGUUAUAUUUCCAUAGGCUCCUGUUGAUUGUUAGUUUCUCUGACUUUCCUAAUUUUCAAUGACCUUGGCAGUUUUGAGGAUUAUAGUCAGGCAUUUUAUAGAACUCCCUUUCAUUAAGAUUUGGCUGAUGGUUUUCUCAUAAUUAGGUGGGGAUUAUGUAUUUUUGGAAAAAAGUCAACAGAGGUAGAGCACUAUUCUAGUCACAUCAAGGGUAUAUGCUACCAAUAUGGCUUAUCACUUUUGAUGUUAACACUGAUCAGAAACAAACCAACAAAAACAAUAACCUUUAUGUAUAUUCCCAAGUCUGUCUGUCUGUUUCACUUUCUGUUUUUCCUCUCUCUUCUCUGAUGUCAUUGGAAAAACUAAGCCAGGUGUGGUAACCAGUACCUGAAGUUACAUCUAUUCUAGAGGUUGAAAUGGGAGAAUCACUUGAGCCCAGGAGUUGGAGGCUGCAGUGAGCUAUAAUUUUGCCACUACACUCCAGCCUGGAUGACAAAGCAAAAUAAAAAAAAAAAAGUAUAUGAAAGAAUUAUAUCAUUGGAAAACUUAGAAAAAAUGAAAAUUGGAUGAGACGUAAUGGGAAAAAAAAUAUUUCAAAAGAAGGUUGUUUUUAAAAUUGCAUCAGAAAAGUUCAGAAAGGUAAUUUAUGCAGAUCUAUGCACACAAAUCGACAGAAUUGAUGGGGAAAAUAAUUUCUGUUUUUUAUCCCCGAGUAUACUUCACAUGUGUUUACCUCAAAAAUAGUGUGUCAAAUAACUAAAGGCAGAUUUAAGAACUUAAGAAGAAAAGAAAUUUUCAGUUGAAAUCUAAGGACGAGAAUAAUUACACAUCAUUCAGUAAAAUAAGGAUGGAAUUGAUCCUCUCCUGAGGAUUAGUCAAGGGCUUUUCCAACCAGCCUUCUAAAUUUCAUACGGAGUUUGUUUGUUGCUCCUAUUUUCUUUUUCCAUUACAAAUCUACUUCUAUGGAAAAUUCAACUUAAUACUGACUUUUCUAUUUGUAAUGAAAUUUAAGUGAGUUCCUAAAUAAGGGGGAAAAUAGCUGAAAUUAAGCUUCUUUUACACUGUUCAUGAGUCAUUCAUAAUGCAUUUGGGAAUCAGAAUUUUCCCAAAUUUCACCACAUAUUAUAAAUGUCUAUUUCCAUUGCAUUGAGAUUUUCUUAAAUGGCUAUAACCAUAACAUAAUUAUUUGGCAGAAGACAAAUAAAUAUGUGGACAUUAAUAUCAAAGUAUAACUAUAUCUGAUUGAACUUAAGUCUCAAUAAACAUUUGUGCCAUCUACACUAGUCUUUACAAUGUUAAAAAACUCAAGAGUGUUUUAAUUUUUUCAACACUUACGGUCCUGACAGAGUUUGCUCAAGAUUGUAACAUCCUAGGUUGAAAAGGAAACUUAAAAGGCAGUUUGGGGCUGGGCGCAGUUGUUCAUGACUGAAAUCCCAGCAUUUUGGGAGGCCGAGUGGGGCAAGUCACUUGAGGUCAGGAGUUCGAGACCUGCUUGGUAGCAUGAUGAAACUUCAUCUCUACUAAAAACACAACAAUUAGCAGGGUGUGGUGGCAGAUGCCUGCAAUCCCAGCUACUCUGGAGCGUGAUACAGGAGAAUCACUUGAACCCUGGAGGAGGAGGUUGCAGUGAGCUGAGGUCACACCACUGUACACCAGCCUGGGUAACAGAGCCAGAUUCUGUCUCAAAAAAAAAAGUCAGUUUGGCUUGAUGGAAGGUGCAGAAUAAUCAGAUCCUGCCCCUACAUAUAAUGAGGGUAAUGACCUGGAGUUACUCAAUUAGGAGCUAUAGAAUUUCUUUCUCUAAACUGACAGAUAGUACUAGGUGGUCUCUAAGGCCUCAUUCUGUCUCUAUAUAGUUUUACUACAGAGCAUCGUUUCUAAACACAUAAUGCCAAAAUCAUAAACUGUUCAUGAAACAUCUUUCUAUAAAGAUUUCUGGGCACAUGUUCUCAGAAAUUCCCUGUAUAAAACUAAAUUAUCUUCUUUUGUUGAUAAAUUAAUAGUUUAUUAUGUUGAU
This is a long non-coding RNA of Callithrix jacchus (white-tufted-ear marmoset), 11435 nucleotides long. RefSeq lists it as uncharacterized. The record is from RefSeq and is a predicted model, not a curated record. Lineage: Eukaryota; Metazoa; Chordata; Mammalia; Primates; Cebidae.